UACGUAGGGUGCGAGCGUUGUUCGGAAUUACUGGGCGUAAAGGGCGUGUAGGUGGCCAACUAAGUCAGACGUGAAAUCCCUCGGCUUAACCGGGGAACUGCGUCUGAUACUGGAUGGCUUGAGUGUGGGAGAGGGAUGCGGAAUUCCAGGUGUAGCGGUGAAAUGCGUAGAUAUCUGGAGGAACACCGGUGGCGAAGGCGGCAUCCUGGACCAUUACUGACACUGAAACGCGAAAGCCAGGGGAGCAAACGGG
Molecule: ribosomal RNA, 253 nt
Filed under: uncultured bacterium
Lineage: Bacteria
Description: partial 16S ribosomal RNA
Rfam family: Bacterial small subunit ribosomal RNA
Source: RNAcentral